AUGGCGUUUCCAAGGAGCCCUGAUUCCAGUAUGAGCAGCUAUGCUUCUACUCUGACGCUGAGCAGCUGCCCCAGCUCCUACAUCUCCAUAGGCAGCAGCAAUCCAAGCUCAUUUACGGCCGUCGCAAUAAUCCCCACCGGUGCCGGUGAUCACAGCCCAGCACUAGCAGCCACAGGAGCUCCUGAAUUCAUACAGGGAAACAAGCUUCAGCAGCAUCAGGAUCCUCCGGAAUCAGAAGCAAAGUUCCCUAAGCAAGAAAUUAACGGCUGGGAGCAUCCAGACCUCUGUUGA
RNAcentral lists this ribosomal RNA (291 nucleotides) under Triticum aestivum (bread wheat). RNAcentral's name for it is "partial small subunit ribosomal RNA". The record is from RNAcentral. Lineage: Eukaryota; Viridiplantae; Streptophyta; Magnoliopsida; Poales; Poaceae.